GAACGCUGGCGGCGUGCUUAACACAUGCAAGUCGAGCGGUAAGGCCUUUCGGGGUACACGAGCGGCGAACGGGUGAGUAACACGUGGGUGACCUGCCCUCAGCUCUGGGAUAAGCCUGGGAAACUGGGUCUAAUACCGGAUAUGACCUCUCAUCGCAUGGUGGGUGGUGGAAAGUUUUUCGGCUGGGGAUGGGCCCGCGGCCUAUCAGCUUGUUGGUGGGGUGAUGGCCUACCAAGGCGACGACGGGUAGCCGGCCUGAGAGGGCGACCGGCCACACUGGGACUGAGACACGGCCCAGACUCCUACGGGAGGCAGCAGUGGGGAAUAUUGCGCAAUGGGCGGAAGCCUGACGCAGCGACGCCGCGUGGGGGAUGACGGCCUUCGGGUUGUAAACCUCUUUCGCCAGGGACGAAGCGCAAGUGACGGUACCUGGAUAAGAAGCACCGGCCAACUACGUGCCAGCAGCCGCGGUAAUACGUAGGGUGCGAGCGUUGUCCGGAAUUAUUGGGCGUAAAGAGCUCGUAGGCGGUCUGUCGCGUCGGUCGUGAAAACCUGCAGCUUAACUGUGGGCUUGCGGUCGAUACGGGCAUGACUGGAGUUCGGCAGGGGAGACUGGAAUUCCUGGU
This 626-nucleotide ribosomal RNA is filed under the name uncultured Pseudonocardia sp. RNAcentral's name for it is "bacterial SSU rRNA". It matches the Rfam family "Bacterial small subunit ribosomal RNA", at positions 31 to 674 of the family's 1533-position model. Lineage: Bacteria; Bacillati; Actinomycetota; Actinomycetes; Pseudonocardiales; Pseudonocardiaceae. The record is from RNAcentral.